GAUGAACGCUGGCGGCGUGCUUAACACAUGCAAGUCGAACGGUGAAGCCAAGCUUGCUUGGUGGAUCAGUGGCGAACGGGUGAGUAACACGUGAGCAACCUGCCCUGGACUCUGGGAUAAGCGCUGGAAACGGCGUCUAAUACUGGAUAUGAGACGUGAUCGCAUGGUCGUGUUUGGAAAGAUUUUUCGGUCUGGGAUGGGCUCGCGGCCUAUCAGCUUGUUGGUGAGGUAAUGGCUCACCAAGGCGUCGACGGGUAGCCGGCCUGAGAGGGUGACCGGCCACACUGGGACUGAGACACGGCCCAGACUCCUACGGGAGGCAGCAGUGGGGAAUAUUGCACAAUGGGCGAAAGCCUGAUGCAGCAACGCCGCGUGAGGGAUGACGGCCUUCGGGUUGUAAACCUCUUUUAGCAGGGAAGAAGCGAAAGUGACGGUACCUGCAGAAAAAGCGCCGGCUAACUACGUGCCAGCAGCCGCAGUAA
RNAcentral lists this ribosomal RNA (482 nucleotides) under uncultured bacterium. Its description in RNAcentral is "partial 16S ribosomal RNA". It matches the Rfam family "Bacterial small subunit ribosomal RNA", at positions 28 to 523 of the family's 1533-position model. The record is from RNAcentral.